RNAcentral lists this ribosomal RNA (440 nucleotides) under uncultured bacterium. RNAcentral describes it as "partial 16S ribosomal RNA". It matches the Rfam family "Bacterial small subunit ribosomal RNA", at positions 338 to 795 of the family's 1533-position model. The record is from RNAcentral.
CCUACGGGAGGCAGCAGUAGGGAAUAUUGCUCAAUGGGGGAAACCCUGAAGCAGCAACGCCGCGUGGAGGAUGAAGGUUUUCGGAUUGUAAACUCCUUUUGUUAGAGAAGAUAAUGACGGUAUCUAACGAAUAAGCACCGGUUAACUCCGUGCCAGCAGCCGCGGUAAUACGGGGGGUGCCAGCGUUACUCGGAAUCACUGGGCGUAAAGAGGUCGUAGGCGGGAUAGCAAGUCAGAUGUGAAAUCCUAUGGCUUAAACACAGACCUGCAUUUGAAACUGUUAUUCUAGAGUAUGGGAGAGGUAGGUGGAAUUCUUGGUGUAGGGGUAAAAUCCGUAGAGAUCAAGAGGAAGACUCAUUGCGAAGGCGACCUGCUAGAACAUAACUGACGCUGAUGCGCGAAAGCGUGGGGAGCAAACAGGAUUAGAUACCCCUGUAGUC